RNAcentral lists this ribosomal RNA (588 nucleotides) under uncultured bacterium. RNAcentral's name for it is "bacterial SSU rRNA". It matches the Rfam family "Bacterial small subunit ribosomal RNA", at positions 318 to 902 of the family's 1533-position model. The record is from RNAcentral.
GCUGAGACACGGCCCCGACUCCUACGGGAGGCAGCAGUAAGGAAUAUUGGUCAAUGGGCGAAAGCCUGAACCAGCCAUGCCGCGUGGAGGAUGAAGGUCCUCUGGAUUGUAAACUUCUUUUAUCAGGGGCGAAAAAAGGCCAUUCUUGGUCGUCUGACGGUACCUGAUGAAUAAGCACCGGCUAACUCCGUGCCAGCAGCCGCGGUAAUACGUAGGUGGCAAGCGUUGUCCGGAAUUACUGGGCGUAAAGGGCGUGUAGGCGGGGAAACAAGUCAGAUGUGAAAUCCCAUGGCUUAACUGUGGAGCUGCAUCUGAAACUGUUUCUCUUGAGUACUGGAGAGGAAAGUGGAAUUCCCAGUGUAGCGGUGAAAUGCGUAGAGAUUGGGAGGAACACCAGUGGCGAAGGCGGCUUUCUGGACAGUAACUGACGCUGAGGCGCGAAAGCGUGGGGAGCAAACAGGAUUAGAUACCCUGGUAGUCCACGCUGUAAACGAUGGAUACUAGGUGUAGGAGGUAUCGACCCCUUCUGUGCCGGAGUUAACACAAUAAGUAUCCCGCCUGGGGAGUACGGCCGCAAGGUUGUUGUCG